AGGAUGAACGCUGGCGGCGUGCUUAACACAUGCAAGUCGAACGGAGUUAGAGAGCUUGCUCUUAAACUUAGUGGCGGACGGGUGAGUAACGCGUGGGUAACCUGCCUUUCACUGGGGGAUAACAGUUAGAAAUGACUGCUAAUACCGCAUAAGCGCACGGGAUCGCAUGAUCUAGUGUGAAAAACUCCGGUGGUGAAAGAUGGACCCGCGUCUGAUUAGCUAGUUGGUGAGGUAACGGCCCACCAAGGCGACGAUCAGUAGCCGGCCUGAGAGGGUGAACGGCCACAUUGGGACUGAGACACGGCCCAAACUCCUACGGGAGGCAGCAGUGGGGAAUAUUGCACAAUGGGGGAAACCCUGAUGCAGCGACGCCGCGUGAGUGAAGAAGUAUUUCGGUAUGUAAAGCUCUAUCAGCAGGGAAGAAAAUGACGGUACCUGACUAAGAAGCCCCGGCUAACUACGUGCCAGCCGCCGC
This 475-nucleotide ribosomal RNA is filed under the name uncultured bacterium. Its description in RNAcentral is "bacterial SSU rRNA". It matches the Rfam family "Bacterial small subunit ribosomal RNA", at positions 26 to 518 of the family's 1533-position model. The record is from RNAcentral.